This 298-nucleotide unclassified non-coding RNA is filed under the name uncultured fungus. RNAcentral's name for it is "partial contains 5.8S ribosomal RNA, internal transcribed spacer 2, and large subunit ribosomal RNA". The stretch from base 1 to 52 matches the Rfam family "5.8S ribosomal RNA", at positions 103 to 154 of the family's 154-position model. RNAcentral also lists the same sequence under 1 other name. The record is from RNAcentral. Lineage: Eukaryota; Fungi.
AACGCACCUUGCGCCCCUUGGUUUUCCGAGGGGCAUGCCUGUUUGAGUGUCAUGUUUAUCUCAAUCUCCUUGUCUUCUUAAUUGAGGUCUCGGGGCUUGGAUUUGGAGGCCUUGCUGGCAGUUAUGUCGGCUCCUCUUAAAUACAUUAGCUGGACUUUGGUUCGCGUUACUGGUGUAAUAGAUUUAUGUCCGCCAGACGCUUGCCUAAUGGGUCUGCUUCUAAUCGUCCUCGGACAAGGUCUUUGACCUUCUUGACACCUUUGACCUCAAAUCAGGUAGGACUACCCGCUGAACUUAA